RNAcentral lists this small nucleolar RNA (86 nucleotides) under Pichia kudriavzevii. RNAcentral describes it as "Small nucleolar RNA SNORD24". It matches the Rfam family "Small nucleolar RNA SNORD24". From Rfam's summary of the family: U24 is a member of the C/D class of snoRNA which contain the C (UGAUGA) and D (CUGA) box motifs. C/D box snoRNAs have been shown to act as methylation guides for a number of RNA targets. Lineage: Eukaryota; Fungi; Ascomycota; Pichiomycetes; Pichiales; Pichiaceae. The record is from Rfam by way of RNAcentral.
UUCAAAUGAUGUUAGAAAUAAUAUUUGCUACUUCAGACGCCUACGGGUGAAUGAGACAUUAAAUUAUCACCAAGAUCUCUGAUGAU